AAUAAAGGGUGGACCUAGGCUUCUAAAUGGCCACAAAAUUUUUAAUGUCAUCUAUUCUCGCGACCACUGAUCCUAGGAUCUUUCAUCACCUGGUUUGCUGUUAGCCUCACUAGUUUUGACCCUACAGAUAAUGACCUGUAUAUUGCAUGUCUACAAGCACCCGUGGACUUAGGAUCUCUAGAUGCGAUGGGUUUGCUACU
Molecule: long non-coding RNA, 200 nt
Filed under: Carica papaya (papaya)
Lineage: Eukaryota; Viridiplantae; Streptophyta; Magnoliopsida; Brassicales; Caricaceae
Description: long non-coding RNA (CPAP_LNC012988)
Source: RNAcentral